This 381-nucleotide RNase P RNA is filed under the name Phycisphaerae bacterium. RNAcentral describes it as "RNase P RNA component class A". It matches the Rfam family "Bacterial RNase P class A". Rfam says of the family: Ribonuclease P (RNase P) is a ubiquitous endoribonuclease, found in archaea, bacteria and eukarya as well as chloroplasts and mitochondria. Its best characterised activity is the generation of mature 5'-ends of tRNAs by cleaving the 5'-leader elements of precursor-tRNAs. Cellular RNase Ps are ribonucleoproteins. RNAcentral also lists the same sequence under 1 other name. Lineage: Bacteria; Pseudomonadati; Planctomycetota; Phycisphaerae. The record is from RNAcentral.
AGAGUGGGUCGGACGGUCGCCGGAUUGAAAGACAUCCGGAGGAAAGUCCGAGCAGGAUAGGGCACGGCGACGGCUAACAGCCGCCCGGGGCGACCCGCGGGAAAGUGCAGCAGAGAAUAGACCGCCGAUGGCCUUUCAUGGCACAGGCAAGGGUGAAACGGUGCGGUAAGAGCGCACCGCGCUGCCGGUAACGGCAGCGGCACGGCAAACCCCGCCGCCUGCAAGACCAAGAAGCUGUGUGUUUGGCCCGAACAUUCACAGCGGGUAGGUUGCUUGCCGAAAAGGAAACUUUUGGGCAGAGCCGGCCGGCAACGGCCGGUCCAGUGUAAUGACCGUCACCCUUUUGGGGAACAGAACUCGGCUUACAGACCCGCUCUUGUU